This 490-nucleotide ribosomal RNA is filed under the name uncultured bacterium. RNAcentral describes it as "partial 16S ribosomal RNA". It matches the Rfam family "Bacterial small subunit ribosomal RNA", at positions 28 to 507 of the family's 1533-position model. The record is from RNAcentral.
GAUGAACGCUAGCUACAGGCUUAACACAUGCGAGUCGCGGGGCAGCAUGGGGGUUGCUUGCAAUCCCCGAUGGCGACCGGCGCACGGGUGAGUAACGCGUAUCCAACCUGCCCUUCACCACGGGAUAACCCGGCGAAAGUCGGACUAAUACCGUAUGUUGUCCAUUGACGGCAUCCGAUUUGGACGAAAGGCUUGGCGGUGAGGGAUGGGGAUGCGUCCGAUUAGCCAGACGGCGGGGUAACGGCCCACCGUGGCUACGAUCGGUAGGGGUUCUGAGAGGAAGGUCCCCCACACUGGAACUGAGACACGGUCCAGACUCCUACGGGAGGCAGCAGUGAGGAAUAUUGGUCAAUGGGCGUAAGCCUGAACCAGCCAAGUAGCGUGCAGGAGGACGGCCCUAUGGGUUGUAAACUGCUUUUAUGCGGGGAUAAAGUGGCCCACGUGUGGGCUUUUGCAGGUACCGCAUGAAUAAGGACCGGCUAAUUCCGUG